This 47-nucleotide non-coding RNA is filed under the name Paramuricea clavata. It matches the Rfam family "Histone 3' UTR stem-loop". From Rfam's summary of the family: The mRNAs of metazoan histone genes lack a poly-A tail. 3' end processing occurs at a site between a highly conserved stem-loop (modelled by this family) and a purine rich region around 20 nts downstream (the histone downstream element, or HDE). The stem-loop is bound by a 31 kDa stem-loop binding protein (SLBP - also termed the histone hairpin binding protein, or HBP). The record is from RNAcentral. Lineage: Eukaryota; Metazoa; Cnidaria; Anthozoa; Malacalcyonacea; Plexauridae.
AAAACGGUUCUUUUAAGAACCACUAUAUAUUAAAAGAAAAGAAACGU